CCGCACGCGCGCUACACUGAUGCAUUCAACGAGUGUUUCCUUGGCCGAGAGGCCUGGGCAAUCUUUUGAACGUGCAUCGUGAUCAGGGAUCGAUUAUUGCAAUUAUUAAUCUUGAACGAGGAAUUCCUCAGUAAACGCAGUUCAUCAAACUGCAUUGAUUACGU
Molecule: ribosomal RNA, 164 nt
Filed under: uncultured eukaryote
Lineage: Eukaryota
Description: partial 18S rRNA
Rfam family: Eukaryotic small subunit ribosomal RNA
Source: RNAcentral